RNAcentral lists this non-coding RNA (27 nucleotides) under Rattus norvegicus (Norway rat). Lineage: Eukaryota; Metazoa; Chordata; Mammalia; Rodentia; Muridae. The record is from RNAcentral.
UGCCAAGUCUCAUUUUCCUCUGUGUCC